Molecule: ribosomal RNA, 253 nt
Filed under: uncultured bacterium
Lineage: Bacteria
Description: partial 16S ribosomal RNA
Rfam family: Bacterial small subunit ribosomal RNA
Source: RNAcentral
UACGAAGGGGGCUAGCGUUGGUCGGAUUUACUGGGCGUAAAGCGCGUGUAGGCGGCUCGCUAAGUUGGGGGUGAAAUCCCGAGGCUCAACCUCGGAACUGCCUUCAAAACUGGCGACCUGGAGCAAGAUAGAGGCGAGUGGAAUUGCGAGUGUAGAGGUGAAAUUCGUAGAUAUUCGCAGGAACACCAGUGGCGAAGGCGACUCGCUGGAUCUUUGCUGACGCUGAGACGCGAAAGCGUGGGGAGCAAACAGG